GGGGAGUCAAGAAAAGUAGAGCUAGACUGAGAUCUUCCUGGUUGUCUCCCAGCCCAGUGAACCUCCCUGGGGGCCACAGCUACACAAAGAAGGGAAGAAGAGAAGGGAGCAUAGAAAAGAGGGCACUUGGCUGCUCAGCACCCCUGAGUAGAUAUGAGCAAGAAAAGGCCCUGGGCUACCCUGGGAUGAAGAGUGUGGGGUUGGUAGGCUUAGCCAAGUCGAAGCCCAGCCUCACUGCCUGCACUGGACCCUCCCUUCUCUGUGACCACACUGUGACCUUGCUGACACGUGCCUCCCUUCCCUGCCCUCUCCAAACCCUGGCCCAAACACAAAACAGGCUAAGAAGCAAAGAACAAAUGUUCCUGGACUACGACAUUGUCUGUCGCCCGCCUGUCCAGCGCCUGCUCAGCAGGAAACCCAGAACAAAGGCUUUGGUCAGAGUGAGGAGGAUAAAGGGCAAAGGGCCACAAACAUACUCGGAAGCACAAUCACCACCUCCCAGCUCCUCUCUGACAAAACAUCCAGUAAAAUUCAUCAGGUCCCCACCACAGGUCUUCCUGGCUACAUACAACAGCCACAACACACACACAACCACGUACACGAUCCCCCAUGCACACUGCUCCUGCAACAACUCCAUCCUGCAGUAACAGACACACACAGCCACAUAUACACAACAGUCACACACCCUGCUACCACUCCACAUCCACAACACUGCCUCCCUAGCCACACAUGGCAUGCAAUGACAUAAAUGCACAAUCCCCACACUCACCAUGAUAUAAUCAUCAAUGGCACAACACACAUUUUCACACACGGCACACCCAACACAUCCAGCCCAGAUCAAGCUACACACAAACACACACACUCCAGACUCACACAGCCCUGGACAGCUCUCCCCUCAGGUGACUGACCUCAGCUUGCCAUCUAUUCCUCUCCCUCACCCCAAACCUCCAGCUGCCUCAGUCAAGACCAGGAAAGCAGGAACAAUGGGGUAAUAAGUUAUGAAUGCCAAUGCCCCACCAUGUGGGCACCACCUGCCUCAGUUUCCCAGCAGAGGCACACAUAAGGGGAAGAGAUGAUCCCAGAAAGAGACCCUAGAACAAAGAUAGAGACCCAGAGGAAUUGGAGAGACAAACAGGCCAAGAGAGGUGGGUAUGCUGGGCAAAAGACCAAACACAAGAAAGAGGCAGAAGGAGAGAGAGAGAGAGAGAGAGAGAGAGAGAGUGAGGGGGGGGAGAGUUGGAGAGAGACCUGGAAACUAAAGUGGGAGCACCACAUUUGUCCAGAGAAAGGAAGGGGAGGUCAGCAGGAAAAGACUAGAGUGUCCCCUCUAAAGGGGAGAGGGGAGGAACCUGGCA
This 1355-nucleotide long non-coding RNA is filed under the name Heterocephalus glaber (naked mole-rat). Its description in RNAcentral is "lncRNA (ENSHGLG00000050748.1)". The record is from RNAcentral. Lineage: Eukaryota; Metazoa; Chordata; Mammalia; Rodentia; Bathyergidae.